AUAUUUUUAGAGAAUAAAGAAAGUGCCAGAACUGUCAAGGCAAUAACUUUUGAAAAAACAGUACAGGCACCUAUUUCAGUCCAAGUCAAGCACUGAAUUAGAUAAUUGAACAAGAAGAAAAAUAUUUAAUAGAGAGUAAAGAAAGUGCCGGAACUGUCAAGACAACUUUGUGUCUGUUUGUCAUUGUUACUACAGGACGACUAGAAUUAUGUCUGAGGCCGGUAACAUCAACAGUGAGGACAAACCCAGCCUGCCUCUCUCAUUCCACACUGAGUCCAAACCUACAGUCACUGGGUCCUGAUUGUGACAAUGGAGCCCAGUUUUCUCUGCAGGAUCCAGAGAUGGCAUCAGUGAAGCUGGAAGACUGCAGUCAAACACUGGAGCUGAAUGUCAACAUUAAAGAUGAAGAAGAGUCGGAGAAGAUUGGGAAAUCUGUUUCUCAUGGAGACCACGUUGAGACAUUCUCUACAUCCAGAGAGCAACAGCAGGAAGAUCACAUAGCUAAGAGGUCUCACCACUGCCCACAUUGUGAGGAGAUUUUCCCAAUUCUAUCAAAGCUAAAAAUACACUUAAAAAUACACGCAGGAGAAAAUCUUUAUUCCUGCGCUGACUGUGGAAAAUGCUUCACAACGUCAACUGAGCUAAAAGUUCAUCAGAGAACACACACGGGAGAAAAGCCUUAUUCCUGCUCUGGUUGUGGGGUGAGUUUCUCUCGACUGGGCCACUUAAAAAGACAUGAACAUAUACAUACAGGAGAGAAGCCUUGCUUCUGCUCUGACUGUGGGAAGAGUUUUUCUCGACUGGACCUCUUAAAAAAGCAUGAACUUAUACAUACAGGAGAGAAGCCUUACUCCUGCCCUGACUGUGGAAGGAGUUUUUCUCGACUGAGCCACUUAAAAAAACAUGAACUUAUACAUACAGUAGUGAAGCCUUACCCCUGCUCUGACUGUGUAAAAUGCUUCACAACAUCAGCUCAGCUAAAAGUUCAUCAGAGAACACACACAGGUGGGAAGCCUUACUCCUGCUCUGGUUGUGGGGUGAGUUUCUCUCAACUGGGCCACUUAAAAAGACACGAACAUAUACAUACAGGAGUGAAUACUUAUGCCUGCUCUAACUGUGUGAAAUGCUUCAUUACAUCAACUGAUCUAAAAGUUCAUCAGAGAACACACACAGGAGAGAAGCCUUACUCCUGCUCUGACUGUGGAAAGAGUUUCUCUCUACUGGGCAACUUAAAAAGACAUGAACGUAUACAUACAGGAGUGAAGCCUUACUCCUGCUCUGAUUGUGGAAAGAGUUUCUCUCAAAUGGGCCAGUUGAAAAGACACCAAGCUAAACAUAAAGGAGAGAAGACUUACCACUUGUAAUGUGGCAAGAGUAACUCAAGUGAAAGUCACCAAGUAAAAUACUACUUGUGUAAAAAGUUGAAAUUAUUUGGUUGUAUCAAAAGUAGAAGUAUGAAUCAUUUCAAAUUCCUUAAAUUAACCUCUGGGUGUCCCUAAACCGGGACGGUUGUUGCUAACGUGCGCUAAUGUGACUAGAAUGACGUUGAAUCCAACAGCCAACUAUCUAACUGCGGUCACCAAUUUAACAGUAGCUGUUACAGUGAAAAAAAUACCAUGCUAUUGUUUGAGGAGAGUGCACGACAAUAAAAUAACUUAUCACGGCGACUGGUUUGAUAUAUUCACCUCUGAAGGUAAAUAAUGUACUUACAUUCAGUAAUCUUGCUCUGAUAUGUCAUCCUGAGGGUCCCACAGAUAAAAUGUAGCAUAGAUUCGUUUGAUAAAAUACAUUUUCAUGUUCAACUGUAGGAACUGGGUUCUACAUUUUUAACCCCUGCUGUCUCUGGCUCCACACCCACCCCACCCAGCCAUCAAGAUGUGUGAAGGUUAGUGUAUAAGCUAAUGAUCCGUCAUGUAUGACAUUCCUGGGAGUGUGUAAACUUAAUUUAUUUAAUACCAUAGCAUUUGUAUAUGUUCUCUAUAGUAAUGUACUUAAAUGACCAAUUCGGCACAUUUGGGCAAAUUCCUGGCAGACUUGAUACAGUCCAGUAAUGUAAUUCUUCACUGCAUCAGUCAAACUGUGCACACACACUGCUGCCAUCUGGUGGCCAACAUCUAAAUUACAUCUAGACUCCUUUCUGAAAGUAUGGCCUUUCUCUUGCUUUUCAAAGAUGAUAGAAAAUAAAAACACAGGUUUUUUUGCUUGUAUUAUCUUUUACCAGAUCUAAUGUGUUAUUCUCCUACAUUAAUUUCACAUUUCCACAAACUUCAAAUUGUUUCCUUUUAAACGGUCUCAAGAAUAUGCAUGUAUUUGCUUCAGGUGCUGAGCUACAGGCAGUUAGAUUUGCGUAUGUCAUUUUAGGUGAAAAUGUCACCCAAAAAAAUGGGUACGAUCCUUGAGCUUUUUAAGUGAACCAGACGACACAAUUGUGUUGUUUUUAUAUAUUGCAGAUAGCCAGGGGCACACUCCAGCACCAUUUACAAACGGAGCAUUUGUGUUUAGUGAGUGCGCCAGAUCAGAGGCCGUGGGGAGGACCAGGGAUGUUAUCUUGAUAAGUGCAUGAAUUUGACUAUUUUCUGUCAUGCUAAUCAUAAAAACAUGUAAUGAGUACUUUUGGGUGUCAGGGAAAAUGUAUGGAGUAAAAAGUACAUUUUCUUUAGGAAUUUUUGGGGAGUAAAAGUUGUCAAAUAUAAAGAGUAAAGUACAGAUACCCCCAAAAAACGACUUAGGUAAAAACUAAGUACUUUACACCACUGCAUGCAUCCAUGCCGUGUGUCAGCAUUGCAGGCUGGUGGUGUGAAGGCGUUGGGGUGUGUUUUCAGGGCACACAUUGGGCCUCUUGAUAAAAGAUGAGCAACAUUUGAAUGCAACAGAUGAUCUAAACAUCAUUGCCAAUCAGGUGCCUCCCUUCAUGGCAGCAGUUUAUCCAUCUGCAAGUUGUUUUCUUCAGCAGUAUUAUGCCACAAGACUUGUCCAGGAAUGGUUCCAAGAACAGCUCACUGAAUUCACUGUAAUUGUGCAUCUGUGGGAGGAGAUGAAACGAGCUAUUCAGAGUAGAUCCACUCCCAGCCAACUUGACACAAUUGUGGGACGCAUUGGAGUCAACAUGGGUCAGCGUCCCUGUGGAACACUCAACACCUUUGACAGUCUAUGCCGUGACGAUUUGAGGCUGUUCUGAGGACAAAGGGGGGUGCAACUCAAUAUUAGGAAGGUUUUUCUGAUGUUUUCUACUCUGUGUAUAUCAGAAAAGAUGGUGUGAUUAGUUUGGGUGGAUUAUUUUAUAUUACUAAAUAACCUUUGUUCAAUGAUAAAUGUAGAGCUUGUAUGUAUAUUAUGUAUUUUUAGUGUUUCCUGUUUGACCCCAGGAAGAGUAGCCGCUGGGGAUCCUAAUAAAAUACUAAAUGUAUCAGAUAUUAAUGACGUGUUGAUCAGUUUUCACCAUUAGUAUUUUAAUGAACGUUUCAUUCAAUGUGUUUCUAUGGGAUAUAGUAGUAAAGGCCUAAUUCUGUAUUUUAUCAAAUCCUUUUUAAUCAUGUUUAUACCUAAUGUCCUAAAAUUCUAAAUAAAUGAUCUAAACAAUC
Oncorhynchus nerka (sockeye salmon) is the source of this 3581-nucleotide long non-coding RNA. RefSeq lists it as uncharacterized. NCBI's taxonomy places the organism in Eukaryota, Metazoa, Chordata, Actinopteri, Salmoniformes, Salmonidae. The transcript has 2 exons. The record is from RefSeq and is a predicted model, not a curated record.